Arachis ipaensis is the source of this 1321-nucleotide RNA transcript. It is a transcript of the gene named fantom protein, with no coding region annotated. Lineage: Eukaryota; Viridiplantae; Streptophyta; Magnoliopsida; Fabales; Fabaceae. The record is from RefSeq and is a predicted model, not a curated record.
AUGACAUAUCUUUGAUUUGAAUUUGAAAAACACGGCAGCGAACAGUGACGCUGUCCUCCACGUGGCACUCACCCACCAGUCACGACGCGCACUGCGCAUCCGCUCACCCCACCACACCACAACCCAACCCGCUCUUUUUUGUCCUCAGUGACUCUCACUCCAAAGUCCUCCUCUCUCUCUCUCUCUCUCUCUCUCUCUCUCCAGAACCUUCCUUCAAUCCACCAUGCUCUGCUCCGCUCCGACCGCGAAGUCCGGUUCAACAUGGCUCGACCGCCUCCGGUCCAGCAAAGGCAUCCCCACCGGCGAUGGCCUUGACCUCGAUUCUUUCCUCCUCACCGCAGCUCACCACUCCCCUCGUUCACUCCAGGCCCGGUCCGAUACCAUCCCGGCCCGACCCCGGCCCACCGAGGCCCAUCACGAGCCACCAAGCAUGACCGCCGUCCUCGCCGAGCUCUUCAACAUGGGCGCCACCCUCACCCGAACCCUACCCUCCAAAAAAUGCCCCAGGAAGCAAACCCACCCGAAAUUCUUCCUCGCCAAUUCUUCCCCAACAACCACCGCCGCCGCCACAACCACUACAGCCGCCGCCACCGCUGUCCGCGCCACCAAUUCCCUCAGGGCUAACGUGGCAGCGGAAGAAGUAGCAGUAAUAGAAGAAGAAGCGUUGGACCGCGGUGACGACGAAGAUAACGAGUUGAUGAAGGGUUUCACGAAGAGCGAGGUUACCAUGAUUGACACGAGCUUCCCUGGUUGGAAGGUGGACAAGUUGGUGUUCAGGAAAAACAAUAUUUGGAAAGUGAGGGAGAGAAAGCACAAGUCAAAAUUUUUUACUAAGAAGAAGAAGAAAACCUCUGAUGUUAAUGGAAUUGGGAGCUCCAAGUAAGAUAUCGUAUGGACAACGCAGUCAACAUGAAACGAGAGAAGCCUAUGAAAGACUCCCAAGGAUAUAUUGCACAUCAUCUCUAAAAGAGGUUUCUGGAAAAAUUAAGAAAGGAAAAACAAGUCUCUGAUUUUAAUAAAUGACAUUCCUUCUUAAAAUAACAAAGGAAGCCGAACAAAGGUUAACAAAUUUCAAGUUGGCUGCUGUAGGCUGCUUCUUUUUUGUGCUAUUUCAUUGAUGAAGGCGCUACCGGUCUUCUAUUAGCAAUCAUGAAUGUAUAAACAACUUUGUUUCCUCAUGAAGAGAAUUGCUUGGUGGUUUGACUGUUUGGUCCAAAUUGAGGUUCUAAUGCAACCUUGUAAUUUGUAAAUGUUUCUUAUAUUUCCCUCUAACUUGCAACAUUCUUUCUUCAAUACAUAUGCAAUCUUCUCUUCUUUUCCC